GGCCACAUUGGGACUGAGACACGGCCCAAACUCCAUACGGGAGGCAGCAGUGGGGAAUAUUGCACAAUGGGGGAAACCCUGAUGCAGCAACGCCGCGUGGGUGAAGGAGCGUUUCGGCGCGUAAAGCCCUGUCAGCGGGGAAGAAGAAAGACGGUACCCGACCAAGAAGCCCCGGCUAACUACGUGCCAGCAGCCGCGGUAAUACGUAGGGGGCAAGCGUUAUCCGGAUUUACUGGGUGUAAAGGGAGCGUAGACGGCAAGGCAAGCCUGGAGUGAAAGGCGGGGGCCCAACCCCCGGACUGCUCUGGGAACUGUCUAGCUAGAGUGCAGGAGGGGUAAGUGGAAUUCCUAGUGUAGCGGUGAAAUGCGUAGAUAUUAGGAGGAACACCAGUGGCGAAGGCGGCUUACUGGACUGUAACUGACGUUGAGGCUCGAAAGCGUGGGGAGCAAACAGGAUUAGAUACCCUGGUAGUCCACGCCGUAAACGAUGAUCACUAGGUGUCGGGUGUUAAGGAACGCUCGGUGCCGCAGCAAACGCAAUAAGUGAUCCA
RNAcentral lists this ribosomal RNA (551 nucleotides) under uncultured bacterium. RNAcentral's name for it is "bacterial SSU rRNA". It matches the Rfam family "Bacterial small subunit ribosomal RNA", at positions 306 to 871 of the family's 1533-position model. The record is from RNAcentral.